Molecule: non-coding RNA, 45 nt
Filed under: Schistosoma margrebowiei
Lineage: Eukaryota; Metazoa; Platyhelminthes; Trematoda; Strigeidida; Schistosomatidae
Source: RNAcentral
AUCCAUCUGACGAGUCCCAAAUGGGACGAAACGCAUGUCCUGCAU